RNAcentral lists this ribosomal RNA (666 nucleotides) under uncultured Lasiosphaeriaceae. Its description in RNAcentral is "eukaryotic LSU rRNA". The stretch from base 304 to 457 matches the Rfam family "5.8S ribosomal RNA". Lineage: Eukaryota; Fungi; Ascomycota; Sordariomycetes; Sordariales; Lasiosphaeriaceae. The record is from RNAcentral.
CUUGGUCAUUUAGAGGAAGUAAAAGUCGUAACAAGGUUUCCGUAGGUGAACCUGCGGAAGGAUCAUUACUAGAGCAAAGGAUAGACAGCGCCCGCGGAGCUUGCUCCCUGGGGCUACCCUACUUCGGUAGGGUUUAGAGUCGUCGGGCCUCUCGAAGAAGCUCGGUCCUGAACUCCACCCUUGAAUAAAUUACCUUUGUUGCUUUGGCGGGCCGCCUCGUGCCAGCGGCUUCGGCUGUUGCGUGCCCGCCAGAGGACCACAACUCUUGUUUUUAGUGAUGUCUGAGUACUAUUUAAUAGUUAAAACUUUCAACAACGGAUCUCUUGGUUCUGGCAUCGAUGAAGAACGCAGCGAAAUGCGAUAAGUAAUGUGAAUUGCAGAAUUCAGUGAAUCAUCGAAUCUUUGAACGCACAUUGCGCCCUCUGGUAUUCCGGGGGGCAUGCCUGUUCGAGCGUCAUUAUAACCACUCAAGCUCUCGCUUGGUAUUGGGGUUCGCGGUCUCGCGGCCCCUAAAAUCAGUGGCGGUGCCUGUCGGCUCUACGCGUAGUAAUACUCCUCGCGAUUGAGUCCGGUAGGUUUACUUGCCAGCAACCCCUAAUUUUUACAGGUUGACCUCGGAUCAGGUAGGGAUACCCGCUGAACUUAAGCAUAUCAAUAAGCGGAGGA